Molecule: unclassified non-coding RNA, 529 nt
Filed under: Athalia rosae (coleseed sawfly)
Lineage: Eukaryota; Metazoa; Arthropoda; Insecta; Hymenoptera; Athaliidae
Description: misc RNA ENSAEAG00005013007.1
Source: RNAcentral
GCGCGUGAUCAUUAUAAUCGGCCGAUAACAUGGCAUUCAAUAAACUCUCGGCCAUGGUAGUGUCCUCCUCAGGAAUGGGAUAAUCGUCAUUGACAAUUAUCGCACGUUCCGCGGCUUGAUGGGCGUCAUUCAUUACCCUCAAAUGUUCCAGUUCUCUGACCCUUCUAGCAAGUUUUGAAUUCUGUUCCCUCAAAGACAGCACUUGCUCCAUCAAUGUAUACAAUCUGUCCAGAUGAUCGAAGGCAUCCUCAGCUUCCAGAGACGCGGCAAAGACGGACGCGGGUUGCGAUAGUUGGGCAGUGUUUCAGCUUCGAGACGAUUUCUGUGCAUGGCGAAAGCCUCUUCGAAUAUAUUGCUGUCGUCCGGAGGUAUAGGGUCCGGUGGUGGUGUCGGCAAACGCGAUACGUCAAAUUUUUCCAUACGUCUCGUUCGCCGCCUAGAAAGUCUCGACGUAACAUCAACACGUGACUGAUUCAUUUGUGAUUGAGGUAUUAUUUUUUUCAAACCGAUUUCAAUGCCAAAAUCAUCG